UAAUGAAGUGUCACGAAACUGGGAUACCCAUCACAGACUAGAUAUUGAGUACAGCUUGUGAUUAGAAUACUUUGUUGCAAGUUUCAGCAAAGGUUUGUCUCUAUUAUUACACGAGGAAAUCGCUACAGACGACCUCAUUUUAAUGGUUAUGGAGUUAUGAUACAACGGAUUGAAUCGUGAACCUGCACAGCUACACAAUACUUUUAUGACACCCUGGACUUUUAAGUAUUUUAAAUUUCCUACUUCCAUUUUAUCCUUAUAUCAUAUUAUAUUAUAUUAUACACGAAUUGUGUUCUUAUGCAAUUGAUUAUUGUACCUCCCAGUGGUAAGGGUUAACUGUGGAAAAAAGUUUUUUGAUGAAGGGGUGGGACUUCCUGUAUGGCACUAUAAAGCACUUUUUCACUUUGUUUCGUACACACUUGAUAAAGGGUACUUGCUGCCCGAAACAUGUUGUGUGAAAGGCACAAUAAAGAUUGAA
Xenopus laevis (African clawed frog) is the source of this 478-nucleotide long non-coding RNA. RefSeq lists it as uncharacterized. The record is from RefSeq and is a predicted model, not a curated record. The transcript has 3 exons. Lineage: Eukaryota; Metazoa; Chordata; Amphibia; Anura; Pipidae.